AACUGUUUCCAAUGUGUGGUUGUGUUCGUCUAGUCUUUAUUUACCCAGAACAUGUCUCCUUCCUGAACAUAACCCAGACAGACCCCUCUCUGAAAUACUUGAUGUAGGUUUUAUUUUUUAUUUAUUUUUGUAUUCAAGGGUUUCGUCACAAAUGGCACCCUAUUCAAUCAGUGCAUUCCUUCUGACCAGAGCCCGAUAAGGGCACUAUAUAGGGAAUCGGGUGUAAUUUGGGAUGCAGGUUCUCUCUCCCUCUGACAGCUGGGUGGAACCGUAGCCUUCCAGGUGCUGUCCUUCACGGAUGGUGAGAAUGAUUCUGUGAGCAGCCUUCCGGUCUCUUCUUCCUCAGUUGAACCCAUACAAAUGUAAUCCUCCCAGCGGUCUGAGGCUCUGCAUCGCAGUUCUGAUGUUCCACUGGGAUGGGCGUUUGAUCCGUGACCGGGAGUGCCAUAGGGCGGAGUACAGUUGGCCCAGCGCCGUCCGUGGUAGGGGAGGGUUUGACCAGGGGGGGGGGAGUUUCCUUGGAUCAUCGGGCCGGGUACCUGGAAGCUGACUUCGGUCUUCGGGCGGACUGUGUUUCCUCCGAAACAUUGGUGUGGCUGGCUUCCAGGUUAAGUGAGCAGUGGGUUAAGAAGCAGCACGGCUUGGCGGGUCAUGUUUCCGAGGACCCACGGCUCGACCUUCGCCUCUCCUGAGUCCGUUGGGAAGUUGCAGCGACAAGACAAAGGUCAAAACUAGAAAUUGGGGAGAAAAAUAAGUAGAAUAUUCUAGGAUUCUAGUUCUAUGGUUGAACAUCUGAAGCUCUUUUGUUCUCUCAUAGGGGUGCAUCCCAAUAGACUAGAGUCUUUAGCUUCAUCUGCACCGAUAUGAAAUAUGUGGACUGGGUAUAGACAGUAAAACUUCCUGUAAGCAUCCUGUAUGUUACACCUGUCCUGUGUCUUUAGGGGCGGCAGGUAGCCUAGUGGUUAGAGGGGCGUCAGGUAGCCUAGUGGUUAGAGGGGCGGCAGGUAGCCUAGUGGUUUAGAGGGGCGUCAGGUAGCCUAGUGGUUAGAGGGGCGUCAGGUAGCCUAGUGGUUAGAGGGGCGGCAGGUAGCCUAGUGGUUUAGAGGGGCGUCAGGUAGCCUAGUGGUUAGAGGGGCGGCAGGUAGCCUAGUGGUUAGAGGGGCGUCAGGUAGCCUAGUGGUUAGAGGGGCGUCAGGUAGCCUAGUGGUUAGAGGGGCGGCAGGUAGCCUAGUGGUUUAGAGGGGCGUCAGGUAGCCUAGUGGUUAGAGGGGUGGCAGGUAGCCUAGUGGUUAGAGGGGCGGCAGGUAGCCUAGUGGUUUAGAGGGGCGUCAGGUAGCCUAGUGGUUAGAGGGGCGGAAGGUAGCCUAGUGGUUAGAGGGGCGGCAGGUAGCCUAGUGGUUUAGAGGGGCGUCAGGUAGCCUAGUGGUUAGAGGGGCGGAAGGUAGCCUAGUGGUUAGAGGGGCGGCAGGUAGCCUAGUGGUUUAGAGGGGCGUCAGGUAGCCUAGUGGUUAGAGGGGCGGCAGGUAGCCUAGUGGUUAGAGGGGCGGCAGGUAGCCUAGUGGUUUAGAGGGGCGGAAGGUAGCCUAGUGGUUAGAGGGGCGGCAGGUAGCCUAGUGGUUUAGAGGGGCGGCAGGUAGCCUAGUGGUUUAGAGGGGCGUCAGGUAGCCUAGUGGUUAGAGGGGCGGCAGGUAGCCUAGUGGUUUAGAGGGGCGUCAGGUAGCCUAGUGGUUAGAGGGGCGGCAGGUAGCCUAGUGGUUAGAGGGGCGGCAGGUAGCCUAGUGGUUUAGAGGGGCGUCAGGUAGCCUAGUGGUUAGAGGGGCGGAAGGUAGCCUAGUGGUUAGAGGGGCGGCAGGUAGCCUAGUGGUUUAGAGGGGCGUCAGGUAGCCUAGUGGUUAGAGGGGCGGCAGGUAGCCUAGUGGUUAGAGGGGCGGAAGGUAGCCUAGUGGUUAGAGGGGCGUCAGGUAGCCUAGUGGUUAGAGGGGCGGCAGGUAGCCUAGUGGUUUAGAGGGGCGUCAGGUAGCCUAGUGGUUAGAGGGGCGUCAGGUAGCCUAGUGGUUAGAGGGGCGGCAGGUAGCCUAGUGGUUUAGAGGGGCGUCAGGUAGCCUAGUGGUUAGAGGGGCGGCAGGUAGCCUAGUGGUUAGAGGGGCGGCAGGUAGCCUAGUGGUUUAGAGGGGCGUCAGGUAGCCUAGUGGUUAGAGGGGCGGAAGGUAGCCUAGUGGUUAGAGGGGCGGCAGGUAGCCUAGUGGUUUAGAGGGGCGUCAGGUAGCCUAGUGGUUAGAGGGGCGGAAGGUAGCCUAGUGGUUUAGAGGGGAGGCAUGUAGCCUAGUGGUUUAGAGGGGAGGCAUGUAGCCUAGUGGUUUAGAGGGGAGGCAGGUAGCCUAGUGGUUUAGAGGGGAGGCAUGUAGCCUAGUGGUUUAGAGGGGAGGCAGGUAACCUAGUUGUUAGAGCGUUGGACUAGUAACCGAAAGGUUGAUGGAUCGAAUCCCGGAGCUGACAAGGUAAAAAUCUGUCGUUCUGCCCCUGAACAAGGCAGUUAACCCACUGUUCCUAGGCCGUCAUUGAAAAUAUUUUCGAAUUUGUUCUUAAAACUGACCUACCUAGUUAAAUAAAGGUUAAUAAUAAUAAUAAUGCAGACCACAGAUGAAGGAGAGGAGAGCAAGUCAUUUUACACCACUUGAACUAGUUCUGAUUUGGAAAACAGAACAUCUGAACUGACAACUCCAGUCAGCUUUGAGACUACGCUGUAUCUAAACUGAUUACUACAUGUGAUGUCGGGAUUGACACUAGUUUGUACAACAUAUGAGUCCAAUAUCUCUGGCAAACUCGAGGUCAUUUAAAAAAUGAAUUGGUAUUAUAAUUUCUAUUUAUUUGUUGUUUAUGGUCUGGAUCAUCUUGAGUGGCUUCACAAAUGGAACACUAUUCCCUGUAUAGUGCACUACUUUUGACCAGGGCCCUAUGGAGUAACUAGUGCACUACUUUUGACCAGGGCCCUAUGGAGUAACUAGUGCACUACUUUUGACCAGAGCCCUAUGGAGUAACUAGUGCACUACUUUUGACCAGGGCCCUAUGGAGUAACUAGUGCACUACUUUUGACCAGGGCCCUAUGGAGUAACUAGUGCACUACUUUUGACCAGAGCCUUAUGGAGUAACUAGUGCACUACUUUUGACCAGAGCCCUAUGGAGUAACUAGUGCACUACUUUUGACCAGAGCCCUAUGGAGUAACUAGUGCACUACUUUUGACCAGAGCCCUAUGGAGUAACUAGUGCACUACUUUUGACCAGAGCCCUAUGGAGUAACUAGUGCACUACUUUUGACCAGGGCCCUAUGGAGUAACUAGUGCACUACUUUUGACCAGAGCCUUAUGGAGUAACUAGUGCACUACUUUUGACCAGAGCCCUAUGGAGUAACUAGUGCACUACUUUUGACCAGAGCCCUAUGGAGUAACUAGUGCACUACUUUUGACCAGGGCCCUAUGGAGUAACUAGUGCACUACUUUUGACCAGGGCCCUAUGGAGUAACUAGUGCACUACUUUUGACCAGAGCCCUAUGGAGUAACUAGUGCACUACUUUUGACCAGGGCCCUAUGGAGUAACUAGUGCACUACUUUUGACCAGAGCCCUAUGGAGUAACUAGUGCACUACUUUUGACCAGGGCCCUAUGGAGUAACUAGUGCACUACUUUUGACCAGAGCCCUAUGGAGUAACUAGUGCACUACUUUUGACCAGAGCCCUAUGGGGUAAGUCGUGCACUAUAUUAGGGAAUAGGGUGCCAUUUUGGGGAGUACCAAAUAACAAAAAUUGAAGUUUUUGUUGAGCAGCUAUGUACUCUUAGCUACACAAUGAAAUACUCCCUGCUGGGACAAUAAAGUUUGAAUUGAACUGGUCUCUUUAAUAUGGUUGUAAACACACUGUACACACACCAGGAACAGUAGACCUGACAUCCGGACCCCCUCAAUACACACCAGGAACAGUAGACCUCACAUCCUGACCCCCUCAAUACACACCAGGAACAGUAGACAUCACAUCCUGACCCCCUCAACAGGAGUAAUUUCACUGUAUGAUUCUGUCCCAAAUGGCCCAGGUGAAAAGUAGUGCACUUGUUACUCCAUAGGGUCUGGUCAAAAGUAGUGCACUAUAUAGGGGAAUAGGGUGCCAUUUUGGCCAGAGACUAUGAUUAGUUCCUUGUUGUUCAGAGAUGUAGCCUAGGCCUAGAUCUGUAAUCUACAGACUCUUUGUUAGGCUACUUCUCUAAUCACUCUCACAGGUGAGGUUUAAUCCAAAGUAUUCCGUCUCUGAAUCCACCGUUGAAUCAGAGUCCUCUUCCUGUGUGUCAUUUCCUUGUAGUGCUGAUGAUGCAUGUCCCGCUUCCUCUGUUUCUGUCUCUCCUAGCAGGGAACCCCUGUCUUUCUCUUCUUCUCUCUCUUCCUGUACUGUUGAUCCUCUAUCCUCCUCUCUUUCUGUCUCUUCUGACAGUGGACUCCACUCUUCCUCAUCUUCUUCACCCUCUUCCUCCAGUGGACCCCAGUCCAGCUCUAUUUCAAACUCAUCCUCCACUGGCCCCCCGUCCUCCUCUCUUCCGGUCUCCUCUGUCGGUUUAGCCGUAGGAGGAGGUCGUGGGCAGACUUCACCGCUGACACUAUGUUGGAAAAACAGCUCACAGUCCUCCCUCCAGCAUUUGAUGUUGAUGUUGUACCCAGCUGCCUUCAUCUCUUUCUGCUUAUUUAGGACAUUGCUAUGUGUGGUUGUUAUGCCCAUUUUAGAGAGUCUUUUGAAAAUGGGCUUAACCCCCCCUUGGGUCAGUGUUGUGUUGAUGACAUAGGCCAGUGCAGAAAGCCUGGGGUUUCUACCUCUCAGGACCACAGAGGCAGCCACACAGUUAUGGAUGGUGGAACCACCUGUUGCAGUAUUGAUGGUGGUAUAAAGCCAUGGUGUCUUCCUGGACAACUCAUUAUCCAACGCUUCGUAUGAAAAAUACUUCAUUUUCUCCAACGAGGUACUACUCAAAAUGCAAGGUUCAGCAGAGGUCAAGUAAUUUAAGGGUCUUGCAUAUGCCUUGACCUCUGCUUCUAUUUUCUGCGUCAUCUGCUUUCUGAUUUCUUGACACAUGGUCUCAUUCGUCAAGGCUAACCUGACAAAUGUCGCCAGUUUGCCUUUCGCCAGGUUUUCAACCAUUCCAGAAAAUUCUGAUGAAACCUUCUUGACCCUCUUUGGAUCCAAUUGGUUCGGGUAUGUUAUGACAACCUGCAAAAUAAUG
This is a long non-coding RNA of Oncorhynchus tshawytscha (Chinook salmon), 5254 nucleotides long. NCBI's taxonomy places the organism in Eukaryota, Metazoa, Chordata, Actinopteri, Salmoniformes, Salmonidae. The record is from Ensembl.